This 1318-nucleotide ribosomal RNA is filed under the name uncultured bacterium. RNAcentral describes it as "bacterial SSU rRNA". It matches the Rfam family "Bacterial small subunit ribosomal RNA", at positions 55 to 1381 of the family's 1533-position model. The record is from RNAcentral.
AUGGAAGUGGAAGGGAAAGGGCCUGCUUUUGUGGGGUGCUCGAGUGGGGAACGGGUGAGUAACACAUAAGAAACCUGCCCUUGAUUUGGGGAUAACAUCAGGAAAAUGGGGCUAAUACAGGAAAGGAGAUCCUGCGGCAUGGGGGGGGUUGAAAAGUAUCGGCGGUUGGGGAUGGACUCGAGACUUAACAGCUUGUGGGGGGGGAAGAGGUUUACCAAGGCUUUUACGGGGAGCCGGCCUGAAAAGGAGACCGGCCACAUUGGGAAUGAAAUACGGCCCAAACUCCUACGGGAGGAGGGAAUGGGGAAUAUUGCGGAAUGGGCGGAAUCCUGAUGCACCACCGCCGCGUGAGGAAUAACGGGCUUUGGGUUGUAAACGGUUUUCUCCGGAAAGAAAGGGUGAGUGACGGAAAUGGGUAAAGAAGAACGGGUUAAUUACAUGCCAGCAGCCGCGGUAAUAUAUAGGGUGCAAGCGUUGUCGGGAUUUAUGAGCGAAAAGGGAUCGUAGGGGGUGGAUCGCGUCGGAAGUGAAAUCUGGGGGGUAAAACCGAAGUGUGCUUUCGAUACGGGUUGACUUGAGGAAGGUAGGGGAGAAUGGAAUUCCUGGUGGAGCGGUGGAAUGCGCAGAUAUCAGGAGGAACACCAGUGGCGAAGGCGGUUCUCUGGGCCUUUCCUGACGCUGAGGAGCGAAAGCGUGGGGAGCGAACAGGCUUAGAUACCCUGGUAGUCCACGCUGUAAACGGUGGGUACUAGGUGUGGGGUCCAUUCCACGGGUUCCGUGCCGUAGCUAACGCUUUAAGUACCCCGCCUGGGGAGUACGGCCGCAAGGCUAAAACUCAAAGGAAUUGACGGGGCCCCGCACAAGCGGCGGAGCAUGCGGAUUAAUUCGAUGCAACGCGUAGAACCUUACCUGGGUUUGACAUGGAUCGGGAGUGCUCAGAGAUGGGUGUGCCUCUUUUGGGGUCGGUUCACAGGUGGUGCAUGGCUGUCGUCAGCUCGUGUCGUGAGAUGUUGGGUUAAGUCCCGCAACGAGCGCAACCCUUGUUCACUGUUGCCAGCACGUUAUGGUGGGGACUCAGUGGAGACCGCCGGGGUCAACUCGGAGGAAGGUGGGGAUGACGUCAAGUCAUCAUGCCCCUUAUGUCCAGGGCUUCACGCAUGCUACAAUGGCUGGUACAGAGAGUGGCGAGCCUGUGAGGGUGAGCGAAUCUCGGAAAGCCGGUCUCAGUUCGGAUUGGGGUCUGCAACUCGACCUCAUGAAGUCGGAGUCGCUAGUAAUCGCAGAUCAGCAACGCUGCGGUGAAUACGUUCCCGGGGCU